CAAGCACCCAGGUGUCUCGGACUUUGGGAAAUCUCUUACUGGUGGCCAUCAACAGAGCGCAGGAAACGCGAGAGAAGAGGCAGCUAGAGACGCAGGAGAACUCACAGCCUGACUAUCUGCCUCACUUUUCAAUACCUUCCUAAAGUUCAUCCACAAAACAAGCCUGGGAAAGUGCAUGACGCGGGAAAAAAGGCAGAAGCAAUCACCCACCAACAGCAGCCAAGUGACAGGAGCAAUAAAUACAGCGGACAGUCCGCACGAGGAAGGCUCCUUCUCCUCCGGACUCUGCGGCUCCCUCGGGAUCCGGGCCAGAGAGACCCGGGAAGAGGGGUCCACGGCGGGGGAGGCAGGGUCGGGACCCCAGAGGGAAGAGCGGAAGCCGAGCUCAGGUGGCAGGGCGAGCAUUAACUCCACAGAGGGGACCCCGCAGCCACAGCGCCGCGCACCCGCUCCUCCGUCAGCUCCCACGCGGCUGGGAAGGGCGGGGGCGCGGACGCGCGGGACGACCCCGCCCCAGACCGCGGGUGCCCACAGGCCACGCCCCCGCCACGCCCCCGGCGCUUUCCCGCCCGCCGCAGGCCCCGCCCACCACCCGGUGCCCUCAGCCCUCAGGAAGGCGAGGCCCCUGCGCCCGAGGGCGCCGUCGAUGACCCCCAGCCCGGCCUGCAGGCCGCCGAGGGGGCUGCUGCGGACCCCGCUGAAGAAAACGGAGCUGUGGACAAUGGAGGACCCGCGCCAGGGCGGGACAGCGGUGCGGGGUCACGUGAGGGCCGCCUUCCGGAACCGGAGUCAGAGGAGAAGACAGGGAAACGGGACGCGGGGCGGACCGCGCCCAGGGACGGGGUUCCAGGAGGACGGGCGCCGGCCCCAGGCUCUGGACGCGCUCCUCGGAGGGGAGGGGGAUGCGGGAGCCGCGCCCACAGCUCCCGGGAGGGCGGGAAGGGCCGGGCCCUGGAGGAGGCCGCGGGGCUGCCGAGCCCGGGCGGCAGGGGGCGCUCUCCGGGACCACAGCCUCCUGUUUUCAACUAGUUUUAUUCUUACCAUUGUGUUUAUUUAUUCGAGAGAGAAUUACAGAGAGGGGAGAGACGAGGGUCUUCCGUCCUCUCGUUCGCUCUCCAAGUGGCCACAACAAGGGGUCUCCCAGGCAGGAGCAGGGCCCAAGCCCUCGGGCCACCUUCCACGGCUUCCCCAGGCCAUUAGGAGAGAGCCAGACGAAGAGGGGCAGCCAGGACGGAACCAGCGCCCACGGGGGAAGCCGGCCCUGCAGCCAGAGGCUUAGCCCACCAGGACACAGCAGAGGACUGACCGCGGCGUUUCUGGUGCUGUGCAGAGAAACUGACUUGAAACUUACCAGUCUCCAGGAGCUAGAAUCCGCUGUUUUUCUCUUAGAGAGAGGAGGCCUUGCCUCCUGCGUGCGGGCUUGUAGUUUAUAACUGUGGCCGGCAGAAGUCUCUGAGGUCUGAAGUGCAGGUAAGGAAGUGAGGUUUAGGUGGCUGCAGGUCAUCCCGCACUGUCUAGGGUUAGAGGCUCUGGAGCUGGCGCGGUCACACUAAGGGAGGAGCCCAGGAGUGCAGCGUGGGGCGACAGGGCGUGCACAGAAGGGCAGGGUUGUGGGGGCGCUGUGGCACCCACAUGGGAGACCCAGAUGAAGCUCUUGGCUCCUGAUUUCAGCCUGCCCAGCCCUUGCCAUUGUGGCUAUUUUGGAAGUUAACAGGCCAAUAGAGGGUCAGUCUCUCUUUUCCUUUGCCUCUCUCUCUCUCUCUCACUCCCCUUCCCCCUCCCCAACGUUCCAAUAAAUAAAUAAAAUAAAUCCUUUAACAAAGAGAGAAAGAAAAUCAAUGGUAAAAUCAAGAAAUCAAUGGCAAAGGACAAAAUACCCAGCCCCACUUAUGAAAUUCAUAUACAUUUCUUCAGGGAGAGUUUUUCACACCUUUGUCAAACUAACUGGGAUGUAGGUGCAUGAAUUUCUAUGGAUUCUCUUUAGUUCCAUUGUCGUAUAUGUCUAUUGCUAUGUUGGUACCAUACCGUUUUGGUCUCAAUAGCUUUGUGGCACAUCUUGAAAUUUUGCAUGGUGAUGCCUUUAGCUUUGGCUUCAUUGUGUUAAGAAUACUUUCAGUAUUCUGAGACUUUUGGUUUUUUGGUUUUCAUAAGAAUUUUAAGAUUUUUUUUCUAAUUCUGUGAGGAUGUCAUCAGAAUUUUGAUGGGGACUAUAUUGAAUCUCUAAAUUGUCUUGGGUAGUUCUGACAUUUUAAUAAUAUUAAUACUUCCAAAUCAAGAGCAUACGAGGAAAUUUCAUUAUAUUGUGUCUGCUUUAAUUUCUAUCAUUAAAUUCAAUUGCUUUUAAAUUUCCAUUGAAGAAGUCUUUAACAUCUGGUUGAACUUAUCACAAGGUAUUUAAUUUUUUUGAGCUGUUGAGAAUUGGAUAGCACUUAUCAAAUCUCAUCAAGAUAGUUGUGAGUAUAUAAUAAGGCCAUUGAUUUUGGAAUUCACAAACUGUGUAGCUAAUAAAGAAUUAAUAAUCCAGAACAUAUAAGGAAUAAAAAAAACUUCACCUGUCAGGUAGAUGCCUCACAUCAGAAGUUUGGAAUUUACCUGGUUCAUGAAAGUGAGAUGUAAGUGAGGUGUUGAAGGCAUUUGUUGAGUGUGGAUGCUUUCUAUGAUUCCCUCCAUCUGUGGACUCUGACAUUAAACAAACUGCUUAUCUGCCCCCAGUGUGCAGUGGACAUGGGGUGACAGUGACAGUGGCUCUAAUUCAGCAAGGGUAGAAAUGGAGGCUACAAGGAAGUCAUGCAUCCAAAAGUUUUCAAGUUGAGAUGGGCAAAUCCAACAGGACUUCCUGGGAUAGGUUUCAGGGCCGAGGACUAAUCCUCUGUGACAUGGGCCUUGCCUCUGGGUCUCAGUCUGCGAUACUUCCAUUUUCAUUUGAGCCAGUAAUCGUCCUUUUUUCUCACACUCCUCUGAUGUUUGCCUUCUUCCUGAUGUCAGCAGCUGGUUGUUUUGCACAUACACCUUACCUGAGUCAGUCUGCCAAUGCCCCGUGCUUGGCUCUGACCACUUUCUACCAGAGGCUGUUCUCACAAUCUCAGGCACCUCUGGAAAAUCUUUAUUGACCUGAUUUGCAUAGUUCAUGGUGGUUUUUAAUUUUUUUAUCUUGACACUAGCAGGACAGCCUAGUAGAAAAGCUAGGUCUACAGGGGCCCAGAAGGAAUCUCUACUCUCCCUGGCUCCAGGAGAAAAAAAGAAUAGCAUGGAUCUCCAUACAGAAAUGACCUCCAUGAGGUCUGACACUCUCCAGCAUUGCAGCAGAGGAGAAAGCGUGAGGGAGAAUUCCGGAGGUGAGGGCUCCACAGGACAGGCAGGGCUAUGUUAAACUUGAGUGUUCUCUCUCAAAUUCUAUCACCCAGUGAUUGAAAACAGAGAAUAAAUAAUGGCAGAAAAGAAUUGUGAGAAAAGAUGUGUCCAAGGAAGGACCUUCUUACUUUUGUUUGUUUUUUGCAGCAGAAAUUCCAAUGCUUUAUGCAAAGUUCACAAAACCCAGCCAUGCAUUCCUGGAAGACAAGAGCCAAGCCUGGGACAGGGAAACUGGAGGUCAAAGCUCAUGGGGUGGCCCUACUACCAUCAGGUGCUGUGGUGCUGAGACAACCUCUUAGUCUCUAUGGGCCUCAGGUUCCAAAUCAGAGAGGUCUGGAGCUGAAACCACAUCCUGAGAUCCCAGAACUGAAGGUGCAGAUGAAGGAAGAGGAGCAGCUCUCUGGGACAUGAGAAUGACCCAGAGAAUGGCAAGAUUCCUGAAACUCAUCUCUGCUCUCUCGUAUUGCUUGAUGGUUCUUUUAUACUGCCUUGUAGCAACACUGCAUACAUAGAAUGUAAGUCGCCCCUCUUCCAUUGGUAGUCAUCUGUGAUCUCUUUGAUUCAAUAGUAUAAUUAAAGCUGCUAUACACAAUUUCUUUUGUUGCAAAAGAGAAGGUUUCAUUCUUUUUUACUGCUUAGUAGUAUUCCAAAGUGUAUAUAAACCACAUUUUCGUUAUCCAGUGGUGGGUUCAUGGACAUCUGGGCUUACUGCAUAUCUUGGCUAUUGUGAAUUGAGCUACAAUAAAUACAGGGUACAGAAAAAUCUUUCUUUUUUUUUUUGAAAGAUUUAUUUAUUUAUUUGAAAGUCAGAUUUACACAGAGAGAGGAGAGGCAGAGAGAGAGAGAGAGGGAGAGAGAGAGAGAGAGGCCUUCUGUCCAUCAGUUCACUGCCCAAACGGCCGCAAUGGCCGGAGCUGCCCAUAUCCGAAGCUAGGAGCCAGGAGCUUCUUAUGGGUUUCCCACGCGGGUGCAGGGGCCCAAAGACUUGGGCCAUCUUCUACUGCUUUCCCAGGCCACAGCAGAGAGCUGGAUCAGAAAUGGAGCAGCCAGGACUUGAACUGGCACCCAUACGGGAUGGUGGCACUUCAGGCCAGGGUGUUAACCCAAUGCGCCACAGUGAUGGCCCCCAGAAAACUCUUUGAUACACUGCUUUCAUUUCAUUUUGGACAGUUCCCAGGAGUGAGAUGGCUGGCUGGGUCAUAGGGUAGGUCUUUUCAGAUUCUGGAGGAAUCUCCACACUGUCUUCCAUUAUGGGUGUACUAGUUAACAUUCCCACCAACACUGUAUUAGGGUAUUUUUUCCCUGCAUCUUCCCAGCAUUUGUUGUAUUAUGGUUUUGGAUGAUAGCCAUUCUAAGUGAGAUGAAACCUGAUUGUGGUUUUUAUUUGCAUUUCUCUGUUGGCUAGUAAUCCUGAGCACUUUUUCACAUGUCUGUUGGCCCUUUGAAUGACAGCUUUCGAAAGAUGCCUGUUGGGGUGGCUCUGUGGUGUGGCAGGCAAAGCUGCUGCCUGCAGUGCCAGCAUCCCAUAUGGGUGCUGGUUCAUGUCCCGGCCGCUCCUCUUACAAUCCAGUCCUUCACGAUAUCCUGGGAAAGUAGUAGAAGUAUGUCCAAGUCCUUGAGCCCCUGCACCCAUGUUGGAGACCCGGAGGAAGCUCCUGGCUCCUGGCUUCAGAUCUGCUUCAGAUCAACAGCUCUGGCUGUUGUGCCCAUUUGGGGAGUGAACCAGCAGAUGGAAGACACCUCUCUCUCUCUCUCUCUCUCUCUCUCCCCCUCCCUCUCUUCCUCUCUCCCUCUCUCUGCCUCUCCUUCUCUUUCUGUGUAACUCUUUCAAAUAAAUAAAUAUAUCUUAAAAAAAUAGAUGCCUACUUAAGCCCUAUGCCCAUUUCUUAACUGGAUAAUUUCUUUUGUUGUUGUUUAGUUCCUUGAGGUCAUUACAGAUUCCAGAUAUUAAUCCUUCAUCAGUUGCACAGUUUGCAGCUAUUUUCUCCUGUUCUGUCUGUUGCCGCUUCACUUUGUGGAGUGUUUCCUUUGCACUGCAGAAGCUCUUAGCUUGAAGCAAUCCCAUUUACAUAGUUUUGCUUGUAUUGCCUGUGCUUCCAAGAAGGCUUUGCCUAUGCCAACCUCGUGCAAAGCUUCCCCAAAGUUUUUCUCUAAUAAUUGAUGGUCUCAAGUCAUGGGUUUAGAUCCUUGGUUCAUUUAGAGUUGACUUUUUCAUAAGGUGUCAGGUCGGGGUCUUGUUUGGUCCUCCUGCCUGCAGAGGUCCAAUUUCACCAGCACCACUUGUUGAAGAGACUGUCUCUUUGGGGAUUGGUUUUAGCUCCUUUGUCAAAGGUUGUAGAUGCAUGCAUUGGUUUCUGAGAUUUCUAUUCUGUUCCGUUGGUCUACAUGUCUAUUUUUGUGCCAGUAUCAGGCAGCUUUGAUUAUAACUGCUGUCUAGUACGUCUUCAAAUCACAGAUUUGAGGAGUUUUCACUUAUACCUUUUUAAAUAAUAUUUCUGUCCCUUUCCCUUUCUCAUAUUUUUCUUUAACAUGUAUAAAUGUUCUUUAACAUGUAUAAUACAUGUUACUAACAUGUAUAAUACAUGUUACUAACAUGUAUAAUACAUUUACUAAUGCUGUCAAAUUGCACAUCAGCUGUUCUUCAUUCCUAUUGGGAUUUUUUUUCUUUUCUCCUCUGAUUGCCUGUUUUCAAAAGAACUGUUUUCCCAGUUCAUACAUUUUCUUUACUGUGAUCUAUUCCACUGUUGAUAUUCUCUGCUGCAGUUUUUCAUUUUACUUAUAGUUCUUUUCAAUGACGGUAUUUCUAUAUGUUUUAUGAUUUCAAUUUCUCUGGUUAAAUUUACUUUUCGGAUAAUCUUAUGUUUUCCUGAUAUCAGUAAAUGAUUCUCUGUAUUUUGUUUAAAUUCCCAGAGCAUAUUAAUUAUUUUUGAAUUCUAUAACAGCUAGUUUGUGAACAUCCCUCUCUUUGGGGUCACAAGCUGGGAAAUUAUAUUCUUUGGGUGGUAAAGUUUCUCCUCCCUUUGUGCCUUAUAGGGACGUUGAUACAUUCGGAGGAGCAGGUGCCUCUUCCUGUCCUACAUACUGGUCAUGGUGGAAAAAUCUGCUAAGAUACAGGGGAAAGCCCCACUCAGGGUGUAGUGCAGCAGGGCUGGCACUGGUCAGGGCGCAGCACCCAGUUGCUAAGCAGCUCUAUGAGUUCAUGUCAGUGUUGAGCAAAAAUGCGUGGGUCUUCAGGGACCAACACUGCGCCUGUCCCGAGUGCCUUUGAGAGUUGUGAGGUCUGGAGUCCCACUGCCUGCAAGGGUCCUGGCAGUGUUUCAGCUUUGCAGACCUCACUCAGCAAUGGCACUGGUGUCUGAUGAGUGGCACUCUUAGAGGAGCCACAGGGCUGAGGUAUGUAACAUGGGCACAGCUGAAGAAACCACAUCUCUCUCUGAGGUUCAAGGACAUAAUGGUUCCGAUGCCUAGGGCACACGUACUCACACUUUCAAUUUAGCAGUGGUCUGAGUUGAUAGAGCAUCCUGUGAAGCAGCCAGGGAGGAGGGAUGCGACCUCGAGAGUGUGCAGAGCUACAGUGGCUCAGGAGGCAGGGUCAUCCAAAUCUCUUUGCAUCUGAGCCAGCAGCUCAGACAAACAAACAGACAAACCUUGGAUCCAGAGCCCAGGGAAAUCCUACCCUCCAUGGUGGAGGCUCUGGUGUUUGAGGUAUGGGUGCAAGUUUGGAGUCAGGACCAGUGAAGGUACUAGCUGUCAGUGUCAGCUGAGCUGCACUCUGAAGUGUGGGAACACGUAGGGAGUCUAGGAUUUGGGGCCAUGAUGUGAAGUAUCUCUCUAUGACCAUGGCUCCCACGUAUUGGUGUGGCACGAUGCUGUUUAGCCACAGAAUUGGAAUAUAAGUGUGAGCAUUAGUGGAGAAUCAAAGACUCAGGGUCAGGGACAUAUGCAGGUUGGAGUGAUACAGCGGUGACUGCUUCUUGAUGGGCAUUGUCCGUGGCAACACUUCCUGCUCUGGAUCUCCCAUCAGGAAUGACUGUUGGUUUCCUCCAUGCGUAGGAUGCCAGUGUCUUGUGCAGGGCAGCGCCCCAGUGGUUCCUGCCAGGUGACUGCUACUUACACCCUCAAUCUUCUCUCUGUGUUCUCGGCCAUCUCGUGGCACCUCUGACAGGCAGUCUUACCAGAGGUCCUUCCGGGUGGAGAUUCUCCAUGAAUUUUCCCUCUGUGUUGCUGCACAUUCUUCCAGGGGCCUCAGGCAAUGUUGGUUUUUGAUCCCUGUCUACUUUUUAGAAAGGAAACUUGGGAAAGGCAAGGACCAAUUUUUUUUUUCUACUCUGCCAUCUUGAUCAGGAAUGAUCUUGGUAUUCACGAGAAAAAGUUCAGCGGAACAUACAAAUUUUGGAAUGUUUGUGUUAUUAUUCAAGUAAAUGUACAUAUAAAAUUAAUCAUUUUACUUGUACAAUUCAUUGAUAUGUGUACAUUUAGAGGUUAUGUAAUCACCAUUUCCAUCUAAUUCCAAAAUAUUUUCGUCACUCCUGUAGGAAGUUCCAUAUACAUUAAAGCAUUUUCACCCCAUCUCCUCUCCUCCAAUUAUUCCUAUCCAAGUUUAUACCCAAAAUAAUAAAAAUAUCAACUCAUACAAAGACAAAUCCACAAAUAUUCACAGCAGAGCUACUCACAAGAGAAAGAGCUGGAAACAAUUAAAAAAAGAUGUGUCUGUGUUUUUUAAAAUACAGUAUGAUAACCAUGUUUGUCCAUGCUUUGAAUCAAUUUGAUAUUCUUAAAAUUCAUGAAAUAUUUAAAUUAGUUCCUUACAAAUAUUCAAGAGGAUACAUGAAACCACAGCAGCCCAUCAUUGACAUUGCAAAUGCAUCAAAAACAUUUAUGUAUUAGAUACUCUUCCUUAAAAUUUUAAGUCUUAUUAAUUCAAAUGUAAUGAA
Non-coding RNA from Oryctolagus cuniculus (rabbit), 8285 nucleotides. Lineage: Eukaryota; Metazoa; Chordata; Mammalia; Lagomorpha; Leporidae. The record is from RefSeq and is a predicted model, not a curated record.